CAGUAGCCGCGGUAAUACGAAGGGGGCUAGCGUUGCUCGGAAUGACUGGGCGUAAAGGGCGCGUAGGCGGCAUGUACAGUCAGACGUGAAAUUCCUGGGCUUAACCUGGGGGCUGCGUUUGAUACGUGCAGGCUAGAGUGGGGAAGAGGGUUGUGGAAUUCCUAGUGUAGAGGUGAAAUUCGUAGAUAUUGGGAAGAACACCGGUGGCGAAGGCGGCAACCUGGUCCUUGACUGACGCUGAGGCGCGAAAGCGUGGGGAGCAAACAGGAUUAGAUACCCCAGUAGUCCCUGUCUCUUAUAC
This 301-nucleotide ribosomal RNA is filed under the name uncultured bacterium. RNAcentral describes it as "partial 16S ribosomal RNA". It matches the Rfam family "Bacterial small subunit ribosomal RNA", at positions 509 to 807 of the family's 1533-position model. The record is from RNAcentral.